This 496-nucleotide ribosomal RNA is filed under the name uncultured bacterium. RNAcentral describes it as "partial 16S ribosomal RNA". It matches the Rfam family "Bacterial small subunit ribosomal RNA", at positions 28 to 507 of the family's 1533-position model. The record is from RNAcentral.
GAUGAACGCUGGCGGCGUGCCUAAUACAUGCAAGUCGAGCGAACGGACGAGAAGCUUGCUUCUCUGAUGUUAGCGGCGGACGGGUGAGUAACACGUGGAUAACCUACCUAUAAGACUGGGAUAACUUCGGGAAACCGGAGCUAAUACCGGAUAAUAUUUUGAACCGCAUGGUUCAAAAGUGAAAGACGGUCUUGCUGUCACUUAUAGAUGGAUCCGCGCUGCAUUAGCUAGUUGGUAAGGUAACGGCUUACCAAGGCAACGAUGCAUAGCCGACCUGAGAGGGUGAUCGGCCACACUGGAACUGAGACACGGUCCAGACUCCUACGGGAGGCAGCAGUAGGGAAUCUUCCCAAUGGGCGGAAGCCUGACGGAGCAACGCCGCGUGAGUGAUGAAGGUCUUCGGAUCGUAAAACUCUGUUAUUAGGGAAGAACAUAUGUGUAAGUAACUGUGCACAUCUUGACGGUACCUAAUCAGAAAGCCACGGCUAAUUACGUG